GCCAGACUUGGCAAAAAGAUCACCCUGUCAUAAUUACCAGACUUCCUGCAAUAACCACGCCCCUGGAAAGCACAGUCCCAUAAUUAAGGCCGUGGAAAGCAGGAGAUAACUGUAGUGCAAUGGACGCUAGCCAAACAAUACACCUCCUGAUCUGUCCAGGGCCAGUGUGGAGUCCUUUGACCAGCUUAGCAGCUGCCAUGGUGAUGAGAACACAUAGGGAGCCAUUUGCACCACUUUACAAGCUUAUUGCAACUGAGAAUCAAGUUCUGUGCAGCUCAGAGCACUUUGGUAAUGUCUGGCUGUCAGCUGCAGCACACACCAAGAGCUCAGUUUCUCCCGGAAGCAUUCCCUGUUCAAAGAGGAGCUGAAGAGUGGAAGAAUUUCCUGAAUGUCUUGAUUCCUUUGUUUUAUCACUGGUAGCUGUGGGGAUUCCUACAUCAAGAUACAUCUGUGUUUUGCAAGCAGAAGUACCAUCUGGAGAAAUGUUUCUAAUCUGUAUCAAGAGUUAUUUUUAUGUCUGAUAAUGUUCU
Gopherus evgoodei (Goodes thornscrub tortoise) is the source of this 530-nucleotide long non-coding RNA. RefSeq lists it as uncharacterized. The transcript has 4 exons. The record is from RefSeq and is a predicted model, not a curated record. NCBI's taxonomy places the organism in Eukaryota, Metazoa, Chordata, Testudines, Testudinidae.